Beta vulgaris subsp. vulgaris (sugar beet) is the source of this 792-nucleotide long non-coding RNA. RefSeq lists it as uncharacterized. The transcript is spliced from 4 exons. NCBI's taxonomy places the organism in Eukaryota, Viridiplantae, Streptophyta, Magnoliopsida, Caryophyllales, Amaranthaceae. The record is from RefSeq and is a predicted model, not a curated record.
CUCCCAUAUCUAUAUAAGAAAAGCUCAAAAUACUUUCCUUAAAAACAAACCCGAAAUACUAGAAAUUGAUCAACAAAGUCGACGCUCCUUUUUUUCUUCUCCCUUACGCAAUUCUCAUCCUCGUAAUUUCACUCAAUCUUCGAAGAAGACCAAAUUCAAUUCAAAAUUCCACGAACAUAUAAACAAGAAAUCAAGGAUUUUUCAAGAAGUUGACGAACAAAUUCUGAACUUUUAGUCGGUACCGCAACUUCUCUGCUACUUUGCUUGCUAAUGGCACUCGUUUUUGCUAAACUCAAUGGAUGACUCCACGGAAGUUGAUCAUAUGAAGCAACGUACAACAAAUGCGCAUAAUACUUUUGAAUGCCCAACUAGUGGUCCAAGCACUAGUAGAGAACCAACUAUUUGCGUCGCACCUGGGACCACCAUUUGCGUCGCACCUUGGUCCGACGGCACAAGUCUCGACGUAGAUGAGAGAGACAGUAUCUGCAUCAGACAAGCACACGACGCAUAUGAUUAAUCAUGUGGAGAAUUCGUAGUAGGAGACUUUUAGAGCGUAAAAGUGGCCUACAGAUUCGUUUAUACAAGAGUUGAGACGGCAUUGACAUUACAGGUUCGAAGAUGCAUAUCAUUGGGGAAUCUGGAAUGGAGAGGCUCUUGUAUUACUAGAACCAUUUAAGUUGUUUUCUAGGAGUUUAUGUUUUCAGACAUUAGUUUUAAGUUGGUGUGUUUCAGUUUCAAACAUUGUUAUUGGUUUCUUAUUUCAUAAGUUCAAUAAAGUUGGUUUUUAGUAAA